CAGAAGCCCCAGACCCCCAUCGUGUGCCUGUGGCCUCUACAGCAGCCACAGUGCCCCUAAAGCGUCUGCAGAAGACUCGGCCUCACCGCCACCCUGCUCUGGGGCUGCGAUGGGUAGGAGGAGGGUCAUCCUCCAUGCCACCCUUGCAGCCGGCUUGAGCCACCACAGCAGGAGCCACUGAGCAGGCAGCUGCGACGGCACAAACCUGCUUCUGCACAGUGAAAGAUGAAGUCACUGAGACCGGUCCCUUCCAAGCCCUCUCUGCUAGGCUGGCUCCAUCUGCAAAGAUGUCACCCCGAGGUGCCGGGUUAGGACUCCAACGCAUGCAUCUUCAGGGCACCGUGUGGUCCUUGGCAGCGGAUUUGAGCACAUAGCUGCAGCACUUCAGUCACCAGAGCCACCCAGAGAGGCAGGGCUCCUGUCUCUCCCCAGCCCAUGCCUGCUCCGAGGGCUUCCUUCUGGCUCAGGGCCUUGUUUCCAGCAACCCCUGCUUUGUGGUGAUGAGGACUGUCAGGAUUCAAGAGAGCAGGACUCUUCUGAAACAGCGUGACACACGUCAUCCUAGGAAGCCCCAGCACCCAGCGCCGAGGUACACCCAGGACCUUGGUGUGAUUGGCAUCGAGGCACUGAGGCCAGCAGGGUGCUGUCGGCGAUGCUGUGGACUUGGCUGGGAGCCCAGGCUUGGAUCCUGGCUGGGCCAUGUUGCAAGGGCCUCCCCACCUAGCAAAACUCCAAAUCAGAGCCGAGAAGGCAGAGAAGAUAACCUGUCCCCUUUCCAGAGCCCAUGGUGGGCCGAGGGUCCACUGCCUCACAGACCUCCUCCCGGGGUCUGCGGUGACCCAGCCCCACACCCCACCACUCUCUGGCAGCCCUGGGGCUCAGAGCUUCCCAAAGCAUUCUCCUCUCUUGGACUCCGUGGCACUGAGUCAGCAUCUCCAUCCCCCAGCAAGGCAAGGAAAAGGUGGCAGGAAAGACCUCAUCUACCGCGGGACUGUCUCAACCCAGGAGAGACGUGCUCCUCCGAGCAAGCCUGUUCCCCGAGUUUGGGACAGGCUCAUGGCAGAGCCUUUCCGUGAGGACUUCAAACCGGGUCCUCUGGGCUUCUUCUCCUCUCGGCCUGAUCCUCAGCUUCUGUCUGACCCUGAUCCUUCAUUCGGAGUCCUGCAAAGUCAGUCUGGAGCCCGUCUCGCAGUCCUGACAGCUGCUCCCCCUCAGUAGAUGGUCACUCGACCCCAGAAAACCUCUGCUCUCCCACGUGCCUGCAGCAGGCGUCCUCUCCCCUGGUCAAGUCAAAUCCUUGUUCCCGUGGCUCCUCUCAGUUUCCACGUCAG
RNAcentral lists this long non-coding RNA (1331 nucleotides) under Heterocephalus glaber (naked mole-rat). Its description in RNAcentral is "lncRNA (ENSHGLG00000041756.1)". The record is from RNAcentral. Lineage: Eukaryota; Metazoa; Chordata; Mammalia; Rodentia; Bathyergidae.